Molecule: non-coding RNA, 26 nt
Filed under: Mus musculus (house mouse)
Lineage: Eukaryota; Metazoa; Chordata; Mammalia; Rodentia; Muridae
Source: RNAcentral
UGGAGUCUAAUAGCUCUCCCUAGAGG